Molecule: ribosomal RNA, 254 nt
Filed under: uncultured bacterium
Lineage: Bacteria
Description: partial 16S ribosomal RNA
Rfam family: Bacterial small subunit ribosomal RNA
Source: RNAcentral
UACGUAGGGGGCGAGCGUUGUCCGGAUUUAUUGGGCGUAAAGAGCGUGUAGGCGGCCAGGUAGGUCGGUUGUGAAACCUCCAGGCUCAACCUGGAGACGCCACCCGAUACUGCUGUGACUAGAGUCCGGUAGGGGAGCGUGGAAUUCCUGGUGUAGCGGUGAAAUGCGCAGAUAUCAGGAGGAACACCAGCGGCGAAGGCGGCGCUCUGGGCCGGAACUGACGCUGAGGAGCGAAAGCGUGGGGAGCAAACAGG